GACGAACGCUGGCGGCGUGCUUAACACAUGCAAGUCGAACGGAAAGGCCCUGCUUUUGUGGGGUGCUCGAGUGGCGAACGGGUGAGUAACACGUGAGUAACCUGCCCUUGACUUUGGGAUAACUUCAGGAAACUGGGGCUAAUACCGGAUAGGAGCUCCUGCUGCAUGGUGGGGGUUGGAAAGUUUCGGCGGUUGGGGAUGGACUGGCGGCUUAUCAGCUUGUUGGUGGGGUAGUGGCUUACCAAGGUUUUGACGGGUAGCCGGCCUGAGAGGGUGACCGGCCACAUUGGGACUGAGAGACGGCCCAGACUCCUACGGGAGGCAGCAGUGGGGAAUAUUGCACAAUGGGCGGAAGCCUGAUGCAGCAACGCCGCGUGCGGGAUGACGGCCUUCGGGUUGUAAACCGCUUUCGCCUGUGACGAAGCGUGAGUGACGGUAAUGGGUAAAGAAGCACCGGCUAACUACGUG
Molecule: ribosomal RNA, 468 nt
Filed under: uncultured bacterium
Lineage: Bacteria
Description: partial 16S ribosomal RNA
Rfam family: Bacterial small subunit ribosomal RNA
Source: RNAcentral